This 156-nucleotide ribosomal RNA is filed under the name uncultured bacterium. RNAcentral's name for it is "partial 16S ribosomal RNA". It matches the Rfam family "Bacterial small subunit ribosomal RNA", at positions 1346 to 1500 of the family's 1533-position model. The record is from RNAcentral.
GGAUCAGAAUGCUGCGGUGAAUACGUUCCCGGGUCUUGUACACACCGCCCGUCACACCAUGGGAGUCGGAAAUGCCCGAAGCCGGUGACCAAACCAAUAAGGAAGGAGCCGUCGAAGGCAGGUCUGAUAACUGGGGUGAAGUCGUAACAAGGUAGC